This 91-nucleotide transfer RNA is filed under the name Ardenticatenales bacterium. Its description in RNAcentral is "tRNA-Ser". It matches the Rfam family "tRNA". Rfam says of the family: Transfer RNA (tRNA) molecules are approximately 80 nucleotides in length. RNAcentral also lists the same sequence under 1 other name. Lineage: Bacteria; Bacillati; Chloroflexota; Ardenticatenia; Ardenticatenales. The record is from RNAcentral.
GGAGGGGUGCCAGAGCGGCCGAAUGGGGCGGUCUCGAAAACCGUUGUGGCUCCAAGAGUCACCGUGGGUUCGAAUCCCACCCCCUCCGCCA